Molecule: small nuclear RNA, 107 nt
Organism: Urocitellus parryii (Arctic ground squirrel)
Lineage: Eukaryota; Metazoa; Chordata; Mammalia; Rodentia; Sciuridae
Source: Ensembl
GUGCUUGCUUCGCCAGCAUAUAUACUGAAAUUGAAACAAUACAGAGAAGAUUAGCAUGGCCCUUGCGCAAAAAUGACACGCAAAUUUGUAAAGCGUUCCAUAUUUUU